AAAGUCGUAACAAGGUUUCCGUAGGUGAACCUGCGGAAGGAUCAUUAACAAGCCUGUGAAGGUCACCUCCCCAAAAAGGAUGGUGAUCUCUCAUCCGGCCACCCUUGUUUACCUUACCUGUUGCUUUGGUGGGCCCGCCAGAAGGCCGCCGGGGGACUUUUUUAGUUCCCGGGCCAGUGCUCACCAGAGUCCCCACUGAACUCUUCCUGAAGUUAUUAUGCUGUCUGAGCAUGUGGAUACAAAAUGUUAAACAAAACUUUCAACAACGGAUCUCUUGGUUCUG
RNAcentral lists this unclassified non-coding RNA (283 nucleotides) under Ascomycota sp. Its description in RNAcentral is "partial contains small subunit ribosomal RNA, internal transcribed spacer 1, and 5.8S ribosomal RNA". The stretch from base 1 to 47 matches the Rfam family "Eukaryotic small subunit ribosomal RNA", at positions 1785 to 1831 of the family's 1831-position model. The record is from RNAcentral. Lineage: Eukaryota; Fungi; Ascomycota.